Molecule: unclassified non-coding RNA, 2253 nt
Filed under: Leishmania donovani
Lineage: Eukaryota; Euglenozoa; Kinetoplastea; Trypanosomatida; Trypanosomatidae
Description: gene:LdHU3.36.6080(CDS-product:hypothetical_prote in_conserved)
Source: RNAcentral
CUGCGCUCCUCAUGCUGACCGCGCAUCGCACCCGCCCACACACUUGCGCGCAGAAAGCAACCAAAACGGAUGAUCGUGGAAGAAGAGAAAACACCUCUGCUUUUUUUUUUCACGGAAACGUCAACAACCAUGAACUCCACGACCACCAUCUCUACAGAUCCUGACGCCUCGUUCUCGCGCGCUGCAUCGCGUGUUUCGACACCCGGCACCAUGAGUGUACUGGUGCCGUACAAGCGCCCUGUGCAGAAGUCUUCCAUGGCGCCCGGUGGCGCCUCUCAGCAGCAACGGUCCUUACAAUCGGCGUACGCAGGCAAAAGCAUCAGAACAUCCGCGUCAACCCUUAGUAGCUCUGUGCCGCCGCACGGCGCUGGAGCCGCCUCGCGUGGCGAUCAAAGCCGGAGGGGGAACGGCGCUCCUGAUGGCACGCUAAACUCAUAUUCGUCGCACCCGGCAGCGCCACUGGAUCGUCCGCGCGACGAGGAGUUUGACGCGGUGGAGCGGCGGGCCCGCAUGGCGUUGGAAAGUAUCGCGACGCGGGAUGAAGACUUGGAGCCGAGCAUGGGCGAUCAUAUCGAGGUUCUGCAGUCGUACCGUACUGCGUGCGAAGCGCGCGCGAUGUACCGCGAAGCUUACCUUGUGCAGCAGGUGCUGAGGAAUCUGCGGCUUGAGGAGGAGAGCCGGCAUGUGCGCGGCAUCACGGAACAGCAGAUGGAGGAGCGCCGAAUUCUCGAGGAGGCGCACCGCCAAGAGUUUCGCGAGUUUCACCACUCCUGGAACGCCCGCAUCGACGCAUUUGAGGAGGAGCAGCUGGAUGCUGAGCUGGCGCUGCUGGAGCGGCAAAACGAAGAACUCAUUCGCUUUCAGGAAGAGAUGCGAAACUUCCAGCCUCGUCUUCUCAGGUACAGCCGCUCGCUGCUCGAGUCUCGCCUGAAGCAGCAGACACUAGCCAAGCAGCGCGACUACGUGGCGGCACAGGCGCAAAAGGCGCAUGCCGAAGCGAUCGAGGUGGGGGACAUUGAGCGCUUCGAGGCUGCCCGUAUGAGUCUGUUUGAGCGCCGCGAGUACGCUGCGCGCCAUCGCCAUCAGCAAGAGUUAUACGCGCUGCGCACGAAGGUGGAGAGCCGCCGACUGUAUCUUGAGCGGUACCGCAAGCAGGAGCUUGAUGUGCUCUUGCAGCGCUAUAUAAACGCCCGCCGUUCCAUGGAGUCGCAGCAGAACAUCGUUCGAAACAAGACCGGCACGCUACUGCUGAAGCACGCGUGCAAUAUGAAAACGGAUAACAGCGGGACGGCGGUGCUGGUCGAAAGCGCCGGCUCUGGCGCCUUUGGCACCAUGGUGCAGCGACGCCAGGCCUACGAGCUCCGCGCCUCGCAGGGCCCGCCGGAUGGGGCCUCCGCGUCGGUUCACGACGGAAGCACGAUGUAGCGAGCGCGUGGGAGUGCGCGUGUGUGUUGCGCCAUCUCAAGCAGGGCCAAUUAUGCGCUAUUAGUGGACUUGGGUUUCUGCCGACCUUUCGUUCUCUCUCUGGUGUUCUUGCCCUAACACGGGUAUUGCUCAAUUGGAUAUCCACCAUGCUGCCGAUACCAUGAUGAUGAUGUGUGGUUUUUAAGUUCCACCUCUACUUAGACGUUCGCUGUGGGUUCUGAUUUUUUUUGUUUGCUUUUCGUUUUUCUUUUGAGUUUGCCGCGUUUCCGGCAGGCUUGAAAUGGCCGUCCUCCACACAGAUGCUGAGGCACCCGGCUGCGAGUGCUUUCGCCCAUGAAUCGCUUUCUCCGGAAAGAGAGAUCGAAAGGGAAAGCGGAGAGUGCCACGGGUUUGGCCACUAAAUGUAGGGUCAUACAGCACCGCAUUUUUCUUUUUUGCUUGAUUGUCUUGCUGGUGUCCUCGCGCGCUGAUGAACUGGCCUGUUCCCGUGCCUUAUGUUCGUCGACCUCUGUAUAGUUUGUUUUCCCUUCACGCUUCUUUGCCCGCUUUCUGCUCACGCCUAUGAGCACGGACAUGUGCGCUGCGACGAUGUACAGCUGUUUUUUUUUUUUGGUUAUUUCUCACUCUGUUUCCACGCCCCUCUUGUGGCUCUGUUUGGCAAGUGUUUCGCUCCGUAUCAUGCCCAUGCCGGAAACAGAGCCAACAAAAGAGAAACGAUGCAGACCCACACAGGGAGGCGCAGGAUGGUGCGGCUCCGCCGAAGAACCGAAGGGCAUAUCCGUCGAAUCGUUUUUCCCUCAAGUCGCUCAUCGCUCUCUGCCGCGCUCU